GGCUGCGGUAUUUCCGGAUGGAGACUGCGCUGGCCGCGAGGGGUGGCCCUGCAUCGCUGGCCCCUGCGAUCUAGGAAUUUCCAAACUUAAGGAAACUGAGGCAGACCCUGAACAAACGAGCUUGGACAAAGACAGAGAUCUCAAACCCUAGUCUUCCAAGACCCAGUGGCUUGCUUGCAGGCCUUUGGACGCCCGGGGCUUCCUGUUUAAGACGCCUAUACAGUUGCUGUGGAGACCAGCCCUGGGCCAGGAGGUCGAGCUGCAGAUGCGGAAGGGAGAGGUCGAGAUGCGCGCGUGCUCUUCCUCAGAGCCCGCAGCUCCCAGGCCACUCCACGCCCACGCCUGAAGCCCGGGUAUUCCUAAGGAAUUUCCACGGGGCUGUUUUGAUGAGGGGGGGGGGACGUCUGGGGAGAGGGCACUCAAUCUCUAGCCCAGGACAACUAUGGUGGAGUUUCAGAGUGACCGCAAGGGAAUCUGGGAAAACCCUCGGAGUGGAUUUUUCUCAUGGUGUCACUGAGAGUCUUUUGGUUUCACCUGUUUGAGCCUCCAUUGUCCUAAAGUCCCAUGUGCAGCCCUUAGAGCGUGACUGUUUAAAGCGGCACCGUGGUUCCAAGGGAGAAUCCUGCUGGGGUCUCCGUGGAGCAGAACAUAACUCCACUUACAACAGAGAGGCUAGCGGCCUGUAAGUGUACUCAGAAGAGGGAGAAGGGCCAGAUGACUGACUGGGUGGCCAGCUCCACCCGCAUGAGAGGAUUCUUCAGGAGCCAUCAACCGGGUGCUGGAGAGACAGAGCAACUGCUCUAGCCGAGCAGAGAGCCCAGCCAGGCUCAGUUCCCUUCCCCUCAUGCCAACUCCCAACCAUCUGCAACUCCAGCUCUAGGGAUCUGAUGUCUUCUUCUGGACACACACUUACACACACACACACACACACACACACACACACACACAAGCAAGCUAAGUGUUAAGUGUUCACAUAUAAAAUUAAUCUACUACAGGAAUUUAAUAAAACAAUCUUAUCUUUCUGGGGCUGGA
Long non-coding RNA from Apodemus sylvaticus (European woodmouse), 1032 nucleotides. RefSeq lists it as uncharacterized. Lineage: Eukaryota; Metazoa; Chordata; Mammalia; Rodentia; Muridae. The record is from RefSeq and is a predicted model, not a curated record. The transcript has 2 exons.